CCAAAUCCUUCAUUGCAACUUUACUUCUUGUUGUCACAAUGUCAAGCAUGAGCCUAGAAGCUCGCCAUCUUUUGCAAACUACCACACAACCAAAUUUACCAGCCAUUCCCACUUUACCAAAACCAACAACAUUACCACCUUUACCUUCAAUUCCAAAUAUGCCUCAAGGAAAUCUUCCUCCAUUGCCUACUAUCCCUUCUAUGCCUAAACUCACUAUGCCACCACUUCCAAGUCUUCCUACAAAUAUUCCAACAAUUCCAUCUCUCAACAUUCCACCAUUGCCAGCAGUCACUUCACUUCCAAACCUUCCUUCAAUCCCAACCACUUUCCCCUCCCCACCACCUUCAACCUCUAGCCCUUAAACACUUCUUUCCAAGUUGCAUUAUGUGAUCAGCUAAAUACAUGCAAUAGACAUUGCAUCAUUUCUUGAUUGUGUGUGAUGAAAUUGUACGAGGUUAUGAUGAUUGUUGUAUCUUUGUUUUAUUGUACGGAGUAAAAAGCCUUUGUAUUUUUUUCUUUUCUACUUACCAGUUUGGUACUAUUGCUUGUACUUUUGAAUUUAAUUUAUUGAUGUUGAAUACACAUACACAUUUAUAUACAAUUAUGAUGAAUUCUUUCUUGUUUAUGACCACUAUAUCUCAUAAAGGAUAGACUAAACUUAAUAAUUUGCGGUCCAAUAACAAACAGAUUCGCCUAUGUUAGCCAAUUUAUAUAGUGAACUGUUCUCUUUCCAUUUGUUUUUGUUCAUUCACCUCGAACAUGAGUUAACUCAAGUUGAAAAAUACACCUACGUGAGUUAACUCACGUUGAAAAUGCACAUGUGUGAGUUAACUUACGCUCGGUUAUUUUGAUGGGAACGAGCAAAAACAGAUAGGAGAAGGGCGAUAACCAUUUAUAUAAGGCACUUUCUUUUUCUCAUCCUAUUAAUUUAAGAUCAUCCACAAGAGAGCACCCCACAUUGGGUGCUUAAGUGAGUCCCCUAUGUCCACAUCAUCAAUUUUAUGAUAAUACUUAAUAAGCAUCAAUUUUUUCCAAUCGAGUACCUCAAAAGAAAUUAUUAAAAGGUCCCACAAAUAACUCUAUAUUAUUACAUUUCUACCAAAAUUUAUUCAUUUUACUAAGAUUUAUUAGAUGGGACCCAUGAAAAAUGAAGAGAGAGAGAGAGGGGUGGAGGGUGCUUCUAUAGCCACCCUCCUCCAUAGACACCCAUAUGUUACACUCCACAAUGAGGGUGCUUAUUUAAUAUGGUGCACGUGCUAAAUAGGUGAAACACCCACCAUUGUGGAUGGUCUUACACAUCCUAUAGAUUUCGGAUUUUAUAAAUCGUAUGAUUUUAUAAAAAUACGACACCUGACACCCCUAUAAUAUGGGAGAGGAUCCAAUUCCUUGAUGAGGAAUGAUUUAUGGACACAUUUUUCAAACACAAACACCUAAAGCAUACGAUUAAAGAGCUCCUUUAUAUGAAGCAUAGACCACCCACUCUUGUUUCUUUUCAUUAUGAAAUUAUGAAAAGAUAACAAGAGGAUGAUUAAUAAGCCCAAUCUGUUAUUUUAUUUUUUAAUUUUAUUCACUUAUUUUAUUUUUAUCACUUUAUAUUAGUUUUUCACAUAAAAUUUCAUUUCCUUAUAAAAUUUUGUGUAAUCAUUACUUGAUCAAAAAUAACAUAUUAUAUUUAUAAGAUAAGAUUUUUAUUUUUAUAAUCCUUAAUCAAUGCCAUGAGGGCACUGGAAAGCAAAUAUGUAGAAUUUUUAAUGGAUUAAAAAUCGAAUAAAUUUUUAACCCUUUUUUUUAAGCCAAAUUAUUAGUAUUAAAAGAAACUUUUUAAGUCAGUUGCUUUGAGACAAAAAUGAAAAAUUUAUCUAUAUUUUCGUCCUCUUCCUUGAAAGUCUUUCACUAAUCCGGUAAAUAUAAUUAGUUUGUAAAUUAGCAUUGGACAGAAGGAAAUAAUAAAGUGGUAAAUGUCUUUCACUCCCCUCCCGUGUGAAGUUAGUGUAGCACGGGGACGGGUUCAAUCAAUCAUUCAUUCAUUUUAAUCAAUUCUUCACCCCAUUCUAACACAUGUUUUUCAGGAUAGAACCAACCAUGUCAUCAACAGCACAAUCCCAAUAAAACCCCAAUUCACCACAAUUACCAAACUCUCCUCUCCUCUCCUCUCGCCACUGUCAACUGACACUGAUGACGUAAAAUUCCACCAUUAUCAUCAAAACUCCAUUAUCGUCAAUUCACCACCACCACCGCUAUGGAGGGUGGAAACAGAGCUGAAGCUGAACGGUGGCUUUACACCGCCAACAAACUCCUAAGCGCACGUGAUCUGCACGGUGCACGCUCCUUCGCGAUCCGUGCCCGAGAAUCCGACCCAACCUUCGACGCCUCUGAGCUUCUCUUAGCUGUCAUCGACACUCUCCUCGCCGGAGAAUCACGGAUCAAUGAUCACCACCGUGAUUGGUACGGAAUUCUUCAAAUUCUCCGAUACACCACCAACAUCGACCACAUCGCGAAUCAGUAUCGCCGACUUGCUCUCCUCCUUGACCCUAAUCGUAACCCAUUCGCUUUCUCCGGUCAUGCUUUCUCCCUUGUUCAUGAUGCUUGGUCUGUUCUUUCAAAUCCUGCUAAGAAAGCUAUGUACGAUAGUGAUCUAAGGUUGCUCACUACACCACCGGUUCCGUCACAGCCUCAGCCACAACUGGCUCCUCAGUAUCAACAACCUCCACAACAGCCACUGCAGCAGCCUCCACAGCCAACGCCGAGGAAAAACUCUAGAUCGAGGGAUAGCACUGGCGCCACCGCCACCGAGCCGACACUGUCUCGACAGAAUCGGAACCCUAGCGAGGCAGGUGAGACGACUCGGCAGACGCGAAUAGCGAGUGCUGCUGAAACGGUAGGUAACAUAAGUUUUUGGACAUUGUGCCCUUACUGUUACGUUCACUAUGAGUAUCCGAAGGAGUAUGAAGAUUGUACCUUACGGUGUCAGAGUUGUCGGAGGGGGUUUCAUGCGGUUGUGAUACGUUCACCGCCGGUGAAUGAGAUAGAUUCUUCGUUUUGUACUUGGGGAUUUUUUCCAUUAGGGUUUUCUGGUGAUUCUAAAGAUUUGAAUGGGGCUUCUUCCAAUUGGAACCCUAUUGCACCGUUGUUUCCGUGUACGAUGAAAGGAUCGUCUAAUAGGAAAAAGAAUUGGGUUUAUUAUGAUGAAGAGGCAACUGCGGCGUUUAUUGAUAUUUCUGAUCCCAGUGAUAAUGAUUCUGAUGAUGGGGAUUGGAGAGGUGGUGCUGGUAAGAGGAGAGGGGUGAAGAGCUCAGGGGUUAGUACUAGUAAAAAGAUUAGGAAAGAUUCCGGUAAUGCUAGUGGUAGGGGAGCUGUUGGGAGACCUAGGAGGAGUGCUACUGGUGCUGCAUCUGGGAAUGAGAAGAAUGUUGGGGCUGUUGAUGAUGCUUCUGCCGCUGCCUCUGGUGUAAGGGCAGAUGCCAAUACCAUUAAGAAAGCUGCACUGGGUAGUUCCAGGAGGAGGGGUGCUGGAAACUUGGAUUUGAAUGUGGAGUUCAGUAAUGAUGUGGAGGAGCCGUCCCGUGGAGUGCGUGCCCGUGAAGGGAAUGCAACUGGCAAUGCUGAGGAUAAUAUUGAUGGGGUUGGGUUUUUUGAGGGUCUUGAUGAGUUCCUUAGUAGCUUACCCAUUCUCAAUCCGGUGGGAGAUGAUAAGGUUAAGGGUCAUUAGCCAUUUUGUAAUUUAGAUGCUUUUACUUUUUUAUUUUCGUAGACCAUAGAUGUUAUUACUUGUAUGUUUGCAAUUGUAGCUCAAAAUGAUCUGAGCUAUUGUGAAUUCUUGUUGUUGUUAGAUUUUAUUUAAAAUUAUGACAGCAUCUCAGUACAUUAUAGCUUUUGAAGUAUUUGAGGAUUGCUUCAUGACAUGUAGAUUAUAUUGUACCAUUAAGGAAGGAGACAUAGAUUGUUUUUUUUUUAAAGAAAGUCAGGUACACACUCUCUCAAUAACAGGGCAAUAAUGAGUGUAUUUCGGAGUUUUACCUAGCCCUAAACUCCGCUUUGUAUGCGCGGCAAUCCAGAUAAUAAUAUAUACAUUUGUAUUGUCUGAUCUGAUUGUGCUCUACACUAUGCUUGUUAGCAACUAUUUUGUACACAACAUUCACCAUCACAUGCUAGUUUUUUUUUUUUUUUUUGGAUAUUUUGUUUUUAUUUAGCUCUGUUGUUUUCUUCUUGAGUGUUGUGUGGUGUGGCUUUGCUCUGUUGUAAGUUUGAGGUCACCAGCAAGUCUAGUCUUCUUUUCGUUUCAUCACAUCCUUUUCAAGUCUGUUUGGUCCAGGCUUGAAAACACCAAGCCUUUGUUUUAAAAGGCAGUUUCUGGGUGCAGUGAUAUCUGUUAGGUCAUUGGUCUUGUUAGGCUGUUAGCCAAUGUUUUAGCAUUUUCAACUGCUAACAGUUUAACCAACUUGCAUUUGCUUGUGUCUCCAAUAUGACAUUGGUUUUUUCAGCUAAUUUUGAAUUGCUGGGUUUAUGGAUCAUGGUUUUUCUAUUUCCAAAAUUUUAGUGGAUGAGUAAUGAUUUUUCAGUUUAAACAUUAGGUUCUGAAUCCUGAUGAAGCAUUUUGCCAGGUGCUAAUAAGCAAUUUAUUUAGAGUUAUUUUCUUGACUGCAAUCGUAAAUGAGGUCAGAAUAAGUUGUAUGCUCUAUCGGCAUUACAUAAGGUGUCAUCUACAAUAAUACCUUAUCAUGAACAGGGAUCUUCGAAGGUGUUUAAUGAAUAUUUGAAAGAAUCACCUUUGUUCAAUGGUGUGUUUUGUUAAUUUGCCGGCAUUUCAUGUAGGGAUGUGGUGGAUAUUAUCUUUGUAUAGAUGGUUUAUAUUCUGUCUUAACUAAAUGGUACAAUAUUCUUAUAUGUUGUGCUCUAACUCAGUAGCAUACUAGGUCUAAGCAAAGAAUACAUCUUUGUGAGGCCCCUAAAUAGAUUGAAGAAACAUAAGAACAUUGAGAUUCCUUGUUACUUGUUCUCACAUUUGAAAGAAAGGUUGUUAGGGGCAACGUCUAUAGUGGAGAAAAUACAAGCACUUAUAUGCUGUGUUCUAAGAAGCAUACUGGGUCUAAGCAAAAUAUAUAUCUCUGUGAGGCACCUAAAUAGAUUGAAGAUACAUAGGAGCAUAUAGAUUUGGCAUCUAUUGUUGAGAAGAUCAUAGAAUCUCAAACUAAGUGAUUUGGGUAAGUGUAAAGUUCUAUAUAAGCCCUGUAAGGAGAGGCAGAGGGAGACCUUGAAGCUUGAAGAAUAUAAAUCAAUCCACUUAGCUUAUGUUUGGUGAGUUGCAUGGACGUAUGUCGUCACCGUGACUUUUCAUUCUUCAAAACAUACACUAAGAAGAAUUUGGAUCCAAAUGGUAAAAACUCAUCCUCGUAGGACAUUAUGACAUCAUUUUAUACACACACUAUAGAACGACACAAUGAAUGUAUAUUAUUUAUUCUGCAUAUUUGUAUGCUGUUUGCAUGUUGUUUAUUCUAGCCUAUAUGUAUGUGUCUUGCUGUGAAUAUGAAGGAUUGUGUUAGAACAUCCUAAACUACACUUCAAGCAUGUUGAUUUGAAAUUAUUUAUCUCAGUAUGCUGAACGCUUAGGUACCCUGAAAGUACCAACAAUCGGUUUAUUUCUGGGUUUUACUACUCUGUAUAUGGCCACACUAGUUUAAGUAGAUUGUUAGACAUUGCUUUGCAAAGAAAAUGGUUGUAAAUCUGUGUAUGGCAUCUAUUGAAGACAAAAUAUAUUCGUCCUAUAAUACUUGUCUCUUCUAAUUUUUUUGGGUGCAUAAUUAAUGCCUCUGUUUGAAGGAUGCGUAUCUCCUGCAGUCUCAAAAACACUGUAUUUACACAAUCAAGUUAUCCUCCUCCAACGAUGCACAUUAGUUUGUUUGUUGUUAUAAGAGUUUAAAAGAAGACAUUGUAGCUGUAUCUAAAUGUGUAAUUCAACAUCAAUAAUAUAAAAUUCAAUAGUACAAGCAAUAGUGCCAAACUGGUAAGUAGAAAGAAAGAAAACAAAUACAAAGGCUUUUUACUCCGUACAAUACAACAAAGAUACUACAAUCAUCAUAACCUCGUAGAAUUUCAUCACACACAAUCAAGAAAUGAUACAAUGUCUAUUGCAAGUAUUUAGCUGAUCGCAUAAUGCAACUUGGAAAGAAGUGUUUAAGGGCUAGAUGUUGAAGGUGGUGGGGAGGGGAAAGUGGUUGGGAUUGAAGGAAUGUUGGGAAGUGAAGUGGCUGCUGGCAAUGGUGGAAUGUUGAGAGAUGGAAUUGUUGGAAAAUUUGUAGGAAAGCUAGGAAGUGGUGGCAUAGUGAGUUUAGGCAUAGAAGGGAUAGUAGGCAAUGGAGGAAGAUUUCCCUGAGGCAUAUUUGGAAUUGAAGGCAAAGGUGGUAAUGUAGUUGGAUUUGGUAAAUUGGGAAUGUUAGGCAAAUUUGGUUGUGUUGUCUGUAAAAGAUGGCGAGCUUCUAGGCUCAUGCUUGACAUGGUCACAACAAGAAGUAAAGCUAUGAUGAAGGAUUUGCUUGAUGCCAUUGAUAACCUUAUGAAUUGAUAGGAGCUAAGCAGUAUAUUUGUAUAUAGAGAAUUUGCUUUGAGAUUUUAUGAGAAGGAAAGGAGUAGUGGAUGGUCUUAUAUAUAGAGUAAGCAAGAUUUGAAGGAGGGUAGUUUGGAGAACAACUACGAGCUUUUGCAAUUUUUAUUUCUUUAGUUUGUUUAACUUCCUCUGUUUCACUUUGACAAAAUCAUUAUCCAGAUAGAUGGCUUGGCUUAAGACUAUUUGUUAUCUCCUGAAGGCUGUGGAUUUUUUUUUCACUCUUCUUCUAUUUUUUUUAUGUCUUAAACUUACAUUUUUUUUUUGUGACAAAACUCGACAUCAUUUUUAUAUACCUAAGCGUUGUGCGUUUCAAUUUUUAUUUUUUUUUGACAAAAACAAAAUGAUAUUCAUUCAAAUCGAGAGAUUACAUCAUUCAACACCGCUAAAAACGCAAAAGAUAAAUCUGCGAACACACUCACAGCAUCCAAGUUAAUAGCAUAUAAUGACACAAUGCCUACAAAAUUAUAUGAUAAAAUUAAAGUGACAGGAAUAUCCAUGGCCUCCGGAUCUGCAACGUUGACGCCCAAAUCUUUGAUUGAAUAAUCGAUCUUCAAAAUGAAUCAGAUGAACACCGCAAAAAGGCGGGAAAUCAAACAGCGCCGCACAAAACGACGAACAACAAACCACCACACUUAAAUGAUGAAAUCACAAAGAAAAAACUAGAUAUAUGUGAAAAUCACUUAUUUAGAUUGAAAUAUAGAGAAAAAGAUGAAGAUGAGUGAUUUCAGGUCAAUAAUUGACCCAAAACCACUCCUCGAUGAAAAAUCUAGAAGAGAAAACCUAGAGAGAGAAAACUAGGGCCGGCUUAACUUUCUAUGAUAUGAUGUGCUUUUCAAUUAUUUAUCUUUUAUUAUCUAAAAAAAAUGCUUAACCUCUGAGUUGAUUUAUUUUAAAAAAUAAGCUUCGACAGAUGCAAAUACAUUAGGAAGUCACUUGUUAUUUGAGUGUAUAAGAAUAUCUACAAUGGAGAAAUCUAUUUUUGGAUACCUAAAUAGAUUUUACAUGUACACAUAACUUAUUUAUAAUUUUUUAAUAAUAAUACAUAAUAAUUACUCAAUCCAUGCAAUUCAACAUCUAACAUAAAUUUGCUUAAAACACACCUACUAAUUAGAUUACCAACUCUUAGAUAUUACAUUCUGCUUGUAACUACAUAUUUUUUUCUCAGUCACCAAAUUCAUACAAAAAAUAUUUAAAAACACUUGUCAUUUUUUCCUCUUUUGCUCUUUGAAAUAUAUAUAAAAUAGAAAGAGUUGGCCAUCAUACAUUUGAGCGUUUAGAGUAGCCAACCAGUCUAACCAAAAAACCAUUUUGUCAAAUAGAAAGUUGAACUAACUAAAAAUUGCAAAAGCUCUUGAUGGUUCAUCCGAACUACCCUCCUUCAAAUCUCUCUCAAUCUAUAUAAGAUCACCCACUAUCCCUAUGCUUCUCAUCAAAUCCCAAAUCAAAUUCUCUCUAUACAAAAUAUACCCUCCUUAGGUCCUACAAUUAUUCAUCAUCAAACUAUCAAUGGCAAUAUUCAAAUCCUUGAUCACAACUUUACUUCUAGUUGUGACAAUAUCAAACAUGAGCCUAGAAGCUCGCCAUCUUUUGCAAACUACCACACAACCAAAUUUACCAACCAUUCCCACUUUACCAAAACCAACAACAUUACCACCUUUACCUUCAAUUCCAAAUAUGCCUCAAGGAAAUCUUCCUCCAUUGCCUACUAUCCCUUCUAUGCCUAAACUCACUAUGCCACCACUUCCAAGUCUUCCUACAAAUAUUCCAACAAUUCCAUCUCUCAACAUUCCACCAUUGCCAGCAGUCACUUCACUUCCAAACCUUCCUUCAAUCCCAACCACUUUCCCCUCC
RNAcentral lists this long non-coding RNA (8452 nucleotides) under Medicago truncatula (barrel medic). Its description in RNAcentral is "long non-coding RNA (MTRU_LNC002226)". Lineage: Eukaryota; Viridiplantae; Streptophyta; Magnoliopsida; Fabales; Fabaceae. The record is from RNAcentral.